This 450-nucleotide ribosomal RNA is filed under the name uncultured bacterium. RNAcentral's name for it is "partial 16S ribosomal RNA". It matches the Rfam family "Bacterial small subunit ribosomal RNA", at positions 354 to 796 of the family's 1533-position model. The record is from RNAcentral.
GUGGGGAAUAUUCCGCAAUGGACGAAAGUCUGACGGAGCAACGCCGCGUGAGUGAUGAAGGUUUUCGGACUGUAAAGCUCUGUUGUUUGGGACGAAAGUGCCUGUUGCGAACAGUUACGGGUAUUGACGGUACUAAACGAGGAAGCCACGGCUAACUACGUGCCAGCAGCCGCGGUAAUACGUAGGUGGCAAGCGUUGUCCGGAAUUAUCGGGCGUAAAGAGCAUGUAGGCGGGACUCUAAGUCUGUUGUUAAAAUGCGGGGCUCAACCCCGUAUUGCGAUGGAAACUGGGUUUCUUGAGUGCAGGAGAGGAAAGGGGAAUUCCCAGUGUAGCGGUGAAAUGCGUAGAUAUUGGGAGGAACACCAGUGGCGAAGGCGCCUUUCUGGACUGUGUCUGACGCUGAGAUGCGAAAGCCAGGGUAGCGAACGGGAUUAGAAACCCGUGUAGUCC